AAAAUCCAGCUUAAAAAGGUACUCCACAUAAAGCUAAAUUAGAAACAUUAAAACAAGCCGAAGUUAAAGGAAUAUGAAUUCUUAAACCACAUAUUAAACGAAUAUCCUGGGAGUUAUUAUAUUAUUAUUAUAUAAACAAUAAAGCUUUCAAUAAAACAUGAGUUAAUAAAUAAAAUAUAGCUUAUUUUUAAAAUCUUAUAGAUACAAUUCUUAUUAUUAACCCUAAUUGUCUCAAUGUUGAUAAAGCAAUGAUUUUUUUUAAAUCAAAUUCAAAAUUAGCCCCUAAGCCAGCUAAUCCACCUAAUCCAGUAUUGUUAAACCAAAUAAUAACAAUAAUAAUUUUCCUAAUCAAGAAGUUCUUAAUAAAAUAUUAAAUCGAAUUAGAAGAUAAACACCAGCAGUUACUAAAGUAGAAGAAUGUACUCAAGCAGAAACAGGUGUAGGGGGG
Molecule: long non-coding RNA, 448 nt
Filed under: Drosophila guanche
Lineage: Eukaryota; Metazoa; Arthropoda; Insecta; Diptera; Drosophilidae
Source: RNAcentral